UGCCAGCCGCCGCGGUAAUACGGAGGGUGCGAGCAUUGUUCGGAAUUACUGGGCGUAAAGCGCGCGUAGGCGGGUCUUUAAGUCCAUUGUGAAAGCCCGGGGCUCAACCUCGGAAUUGCAGUGGAUACUAUUGAUCUUGAAUGCUUGAGAGGGUAUCGGAAUUCCAGGUGUAGGAGUGAAAUCCGUAGAUAUCUGGAGGAACAUCCGAGGCGAAGGCGGAUACCUGGUGAUGCAUUGACGCUGAGGCACGAAAGCGUGGGUAGCGAACAGGAUUAGAUA
Molecule: ribosomal RNA, 279 nt
Filed under: uncultured bacterium
Lineage: Bacteria
Description: partial 16S ribosomal RNA
Rfam family: Bacterial small subunit ribosomal RNA
Source: RNAcentral